This 264-nucleotide ribosomal RNA is filed under the name uncultured bacterium. RNAcentral describes it as "partial 16S ribosomal RNA". It matches the Rfam family "Bacterial small subunit ribosomal RNA", at positions 793 to 1055 of the family's 1533-position model. The record is from RNAcentral.
GUCCAUGCCGUAAACGGUGGGCACUAGGUGUGGGUUUCAACUAACGAAAUCCGCGCCGUCGCUAACGCAUUAAGUGCCCCGCCUGGGGAGUACGGUCGCAAGACUAAAACUCAAAGGAAUUGACGGGGCCCGCACAAGCAGCGGAGCGUGUUGCUUAAUUCGAUGCUACGCGAAGAACCUUACCUGGGUUUGACAUGUUUGGAAAAACCACAGAGAUGUGGUGUCCGCAAAGGGGCCAAAACACAGGUGGUGCAUGGCUGUCGU